This 254-nucleotide ribosomal RNA is filed under the name uncultured archaeon. Its description in RNAcentral is "partial 16S ribosomal RNA". It matches the Rfam family "Archaeal small subunit ribosomal RNA", at positions 474 to 727 of the family's 1478-position model. The record is from RNAcentral.
UACCCGCAGCCCAAGUGGUGGUCGCGAUUAUUGGGCCUAAAGCGCUCGUAGCCGGGUUGGCAAGUCCCUUGUGAAAUCGGGCGGCCCAACCGUUCGGCUGGCAAGGGAUACUGCCAGCCUUGAGGCCGGGAGACGUCAGGGGUACUCCGGGGGUAGCGGUGAAAUGCUCUGAUCCUCGGGGGACCACCAGUGGCGAAGGCGCCUGACGAGAACGGACCUGACGGUGAGGGGCGAAGGCUAGGGGAGCGAACGGG